ACCUGGCGAUAUAAUUCAAAGUAUAUUUUGCGUAGAAAAUAGUUCGCCUUGCAAAGUAAUGUAGAUUUAUUUGUGACAAUUGGCAGUUUUAUCUCCCAUUCUCUCCGUUGAAUAAUGAGUGACUUUUUUUAGAAAGUCUAGAAUGAACAGGUAGCGGCCAGCCGUCACAAAUGACUUCACAUUCACCCAACAGAUUACCUUGGUACUUUGCUGCGUUUCAUUUUGAAGCAACUCCACAUGUCAAGCAAAUAUACUGGAAAGCUUUCGAGUUCCACUCAGUGACUGCAUGAGAAAAUGGGAACCAGUGGAGAAGGAACCAAAAUUCAGUGCAAG
Molecule: long non-coding RNA, 333 nt
Organism: Pocillopora damicornis (cauliflower coral)
Lineage: Eukaryota; Metazoa; Cnidaria; Anthozoa; Scleractinia; Pocilloporidae
Source: RefSeq, a predicted model, not a curated record